GAGUGUCUCCUCCUCUCAGUAUCUCUGGGGCCCUGUCCCCAUGUGGAUCUCUCUCAUCCUGGGAUGCUGAAGUGGAAAAGGACCUGGCUGCCACGGUGGAUGGGCCUCCAGCGCUUUCCAGGCUAACUCAGCGAGCCCAGUCUUCUUAGUCAACUGAGAGACAUGUCUACAGAACAGACCAUGUGGCCAACUCCUCCUCCUCCCCAUGCCCCAGGCAAGAGGACUCUGGGAAGACAUCCAGGAAGCAAGGAGUCUGUAGCCAGCUGCCUUCAGAAGCCCAAGGUCAUUGGCCCUGCCACUCUGGUUUGCCAACUCCUCAAGGACCACAUAGGCCCAACUGUUAUGGAAAGGGUGGACCAGAGAGAGGGGCUUCUUUUCCUUCGGCUUUGGGGAAGGCAAAGGCAAUUCCUGCCACUGCCCACUCCAGAGACGGCCGCAUCUUCCAGGUGACUAAAGGCAAGUGAUGGUUCUGAGGAGACCAGGACUGUGGGGAGCUCCUGGGCUCAGUGGGGGGAGCUCCUGGGCUCAGUGGGGGGAGCUCCUGGCCUCGGGGAGAGCCCCAGAUGUCGCUCCCCUCUUCAGCUGCAUGGCAGAGCAGGGGUUAACAGGGAGAGGCUGCAAGGCUGGAGCUGCGAGGCUGGAGCAGGCGGUGGCUCCCGCCUCUUCACCACCCCCCUCAAGAGUUGCUGACUCUUCCUUUUUGUUCGGGCUGACAGCGAGCACCUGGUGUGCUCCUGCAACAAUAUUGUUCCUGCCUCCCUCCCCCCAGGCCCCAGGCUCCCUUCCCUCUCCCCCUCCCCGCCCGCCGGCAACCUUCCCCUCUGCCUCCUCUUUCCCUUGCCCCCUCCUGCCUGUGGCCUCCUAGGCACCCCCCUACCACAACCACCACAAGCACCGACGCUGCAGUGUCAAUAAACACAACAUAUGCUGCCAUUAAUGUGAAAA
Molecule: long non-coding RNA, 945 nt
Organism: Homo sapiens (human)
Lineage: Eukaryota; Metazoa; Chordata; Mammalia; Primates; Hominidae
Source: Ensembl